RNAcentral lists this transfer RNA (65 nucleotides) under Allopsontus sp. 2 JZ-2014. Its description in RNAcentral is "tRNA-Pro". Lineage: Eukaryota; Metazoa; Arthropoda; Insecta; Archaeognatha; Machilidae. The record is from RNAcentral.
CAGAGGGUAGUUUAAUCAAAAUAUUGGCUUUGGAAGCUUUAGAUGGUAAAUUUUAUCUUCUCUGA